GACGAACGCUGGCGGCGUGGAUUAGGCAUGCAAGUCGAACGGUAAUCAUCCUUUCGGGGGUGAGAGAGUGGCGAACUGGUGAGUAACACGUAGGUUAUCUACCCUCAAGACGGGGACAACCCAGGGAAACUUGGGCUAAUACCGGAUGUGAGCAACUUUUAGUUGUUUGAAAGGUGGCGUAAGCUGUCGCUUGGGGAUGAGCCUGCGUCCUAUUAGUUAGUUGGUGAGGUAACGGCUCACCUAGGCAAUGAUAGGUAGGCGGCCUUAACGGGUGGUCGCCCACACUGGGAUUGAGAUACGGCCCAGACUCCUACGGGAGGCAGCAGUCGAGAAUAGUCUACAAUGGUCGGAAGACUGAUAGUGCAAACGCCGCGUGAACGAUGAAUCCCUUCGGGGUGUAAAAGUUCUUUUCUAUACGAGCAGUGCUAUAUAUAUGGAUAGUAUAUAUAGAGGGAUAGUAGUAUAGGAAUAAGCAACGGCUAAACUCCGUGCCAGCAGCCGCGGUAAACAGUUA
Molecule: ribosomal RNA, 514 nt
Filed under: uncultured bacterium
Lineage: Bacteria
Description: bacterial SSU rRNA
Rfam family: Bacterial small subunit ribosomal RNA
Source: RNAcentral